Molecule: unclassified non-coding RNA, 376 nt
Filed under: uncultured Entrophospora
Lineage: Eukaryota; Fungi; Glomeromycota; Glomeromycetes; Entrophosporales; Entrophosporaceae
Description: bacterial SSU rRNA
Rfam family: Eukaryotic small subunit ribosomal RNA
Source: RNAcentral
AGCAGCCGCGGUAAUUCCAGCUCCAAUAGCGUAUAUUAAAGUUGUUGCAGUUAAAAGCUCGUAGUUGAACUUCAGGCCUGUCCAGAUGGUCCGCCUUAAUUGGUGUGUACUGUCCUUGGGUGGGUCCUACCUUCUGGCGAAGCGGCAUGGCCUUAGUUGGUUGUGUUGGGGAACCAGGACUUUUACUGUGAAAAAUUAGAGUGUUCAAAGCAGGCAUAAUAUGCUCGAAUGCAUUAGCAUGGAAUAAUGGAAUAGGACGAUGGUUCUAUUUUGUUGGUUCUAGGACCGUUGUAAUGAUUAAUAGGGAUAGUUGGGGGCAUUAGUAUUCAAUUGUCAGAGGUGAAAUUCUUGGAUUUAUUGAAGGCUGACUACNGCG